AUUAAACGCUGGCGGCAUGCCUUACACAUGCAAGUCGAACGGCAGCACGGGGGCAACCCUGGUGGCGAGUGGCGGACGGGUGAGUAAAGCAUCGGAACGUAUCCUGGAGUGGGGGAUAACGUAGCGAAAGUUACGCUAAUACCGCAUAUUCUGUGAGCAGGAAAGCAGGGGAUCGCAAGACCUUGCGCUCUGGGAGCGGCCGAUGUCGGAUUAGCUAGUUGGUGGGGUAAAGGCCUACCAAGGCGACGAUCCGUAGCGGGUCUGAGAGGAUGAUCCGCCACACUGGGACUGAGACACGGCCCAGACUCCUACGGGAGGCAGCAGUGGGGAAUUUUGGGACAAUGGGCGCAAGCCUGAUCCAGCCAUGCCGCGUGAGUGAAGAAGGCCU
Molecule: ribosomal RNA, 388 nt
Filed under: uncultured bacterium
Lineage: Bacteria
Description: bacterial SSU rRNA
Rfam family: Bacterial small subunit ribosomal RNA
Source: RNAcentral